UGGGGAAUAUUGCACAAUGGGCGCAAGCCUGAUGCAGCAACGCCGCGUGAACGAUGAAGGUCUUCGGAUCGUAAAGUUCUGUUGCAGGGGAAGAUAAUGACGGUACCCUGUGAGGAAGCCCCGGCUAACUACGUGCCAGCAGCCGCGGUAAUACGUAGGGGGCUAGCGUUAUCCGGAUUUACUGGGCGUAAAGGGUGCGUAGGUGGUCCUUCAAGUCGGUGGUUAAAGGCUACGGCUCAACCGUAGUAAGCCGCCGAAACUGGAGGACUUGAGUGCAGGAGAGGAAAGUGGAAUUCCCAGUGUAGCGGUAAAAUGCGCAGAUAUUAGGAGGAACACCAGUGGCGAAGGCGGCUAUCUGGACAGUAACUGACGCUGAGGGGCGAAAGCGUGGGUAGCAAACAGG
This 403-nucleotide ribosomal RNA is filed under the name Verrucomicrobiota bacterium. RNAcentral describes it as "Verrucomicrobia bacterium partial 16S ribosomal RNA". It matches the Rfam family "Bacterial small subunit ribosomal RNA", at positions 355 to 776 of the family's 1533-position model. Lineage: Bacteria; Pseudomonadati; Verrucomicrobiota. The record is from RNAcentral.